GAGGUGUGGCCGAGUGGUUUAAGGCAACGGUCUUGAAAACCGUCGAUGGGGAGACCUGUCCUAGAGUUCGAAUCUCUACACCUCCGCCAU
This 90-nucleotide transfer RNA is filed under the name Pseudomonas aeruginosa. RNAcentral's name for it is "tRNA-Ser". It matches the Rfam family "tRNA". Rfam says of the family: Transfer RNA (tRNA) molecules are approximately 80 nucleotides in length. The record is from RNAcentral. Lineage: Bacteria; Pseudomonadati; Pseudomonadota; Gammaproteobacteria; Pseudomonadales; Pseudomonadaceae.